AUUAAAUUGACAGAAAAUUGUGUUAUAUUUAGAAUAUAAUAAUGGAAUUUAUUUCCAUUUAAUA
Molecule: transfer RNA, 64 nt
Filed under: Phytoseiulus persimilis
Lineage: Eukaryota; Metazoa; Arthropoda; Arachnida; Mesostigmata; Phytoseiidae
Description: tRNA-Leu
Source: RNAcentral